Molecule: transfer RNA, 51 nt
Filed under: Capra hircus (goat)
Lineage: Eukaryota; Metazoa; Chordata; Mammalia; Artiodactyla; Bovidae
Description: partial tRNA-Thr
Source: RNAcentral
AUACACUGGUCUUGUAAACCAGAAAAGGAGAAUAGCCAAUCUCCCUAAGAC